CACUGUUUACAAAAAAGCAAAAAAAAAAGCAAAAAAAAAGUUUAAAAAAAAGCAAAAAAAAAAUAAACAAAAAAGAUAAAAAAAUUAUAAAAAAUACGAAAAUAAAACCACUAAAUCGCCAAAUUUAAAAUCGCCAAAACAUCAUUCACACCUUGCAGAUUCGCCCUCAGAUAGGGUCAAGGCCUGUUUGCUGACAACUGAGGCUGCAACAAUACCAAAUCUAACUUCCUAUUCUAUUAUAAUCCGAUCCCAUUUACACCAUGCAGAUUCGCCCUCAGAUAGGGUCAAGGCCUGUUUGCUGACAACUGAGGGUAAAUAAAUUAUUCAUAAUAAAUCAUUUUAUUUUAAAUUUUCAAGCUGCAACAAUACCAAAUCUAACUUCCUAUUCUAUUAUAAUGUAAUUAAAUAAUUUUUUGGAAGCAAUUUAAUUUUUUUAUAGCCGAUCUCUCAUUUACACCUAGCACAUUUGCCCUCAUAACAUAUUAAAUAAUUGAUAAAACAAAAAAGAAAAAAAAUGAUAAAAAAAAAACAAAUGAAAAAAGAAAAAAUGAUAGAAAUGAGAACCAACUUUCUAACGGAUAUUACACAAUAUCCGUUAAUCGAAUUGAAUAACCAGGGAUAUUACACAAUAUCCGUACAUCGAAUUGAAUAACUGAGAACCAAGUAUUAUAUAGUUAAAAUAAUUUAUAAUCUUUAUAGAUAGCUUUCUAACGGAUAUUACACAAUAUCCGUUAAUCGAAUUGAAUAACCAGGGAUAUUACACAAUAUCUGUACAUCGAAUUGAAUAACUGAGAACCAACUUUCUCAGGGAUAUUAGAUAACGUUAUGAUCUUUUCCCUGAUCUCGGGCCUUCCCGUACCUACAAUAACAACCUGACGAUUGGAUGAAAUCUCAAUCAAUUCCACAUAUCUCCUAUGAAAUAUCCAAGGAUACUCAAGCCGAAAAAUUUAAACAAC
This is a long non-coding RNA of Gordionus sp. m RMFG-2023, 956 nucleotides long. RefSeq lists it as uncharacterized. The transcript is spliced from 5 exons. Lineage: Eukaryota; Metazoa; Nematomorpha; Gordioida; Chordodea; Parachordodidae. The record is from RefSeq and is a predicted model, not a curated record.